CACGUAGGGGGGCAAGCGUUGUCCGGAAUUAUUGGGCGUAAAGAGCUCGUAGGCGGCUCGGUAAGUCAGGUGUCAAAUCCUCAGGCUCAACCUGGGGCUCCACCUGAUACUGCUGUGGCUAGAGUCCGGUAGGGGAGCGUGGAAUUCCUGGUGUAGCGGUGAAAUGCGCAGAUAUCAGGAGGAACACCGGUGGCGAAGGCGGGAUCCUGGGCCAGUACUGACGCUGAGGAGCGAAAGCGUGGGGAGCAAACAGG
RNAcentral lists this ribosomal RNA (254 nucleotides) under uncultured bacterium. RNAcentral describes it as "partial 16S ribosomal RNA". It matches the Rfam family "Bacterial small subunit ribosomal RNA", at positions 524 to 776 of the family's 1533-position model. The record is from RNAcentral.